This is a long non-coding RNA of Triticum aestivum (bread wheat), 3468 nucleotides long. RefSeq lists it as uncharacterized. Lineage: Eukaryota; Viridiplantae; Streptophyta; Magnoliopsida; Poales; Poaceae. The record is from RefSeq and is a predicted model, not a curated record. The transcript is spliced from 3 exons.
GGAUGAGAGCAUGGGGCAGGCAAGCCGGAUCCCUGCCCGACCCCCGUCCUUUCCACGGGAAGGAAAGGCACGACCCAAGAGGUCGGGGAGGAUAUCCACGGCUCGACCGAGACGAGCGAACUCCAGCCGUCAGCCAAGAUCCAGCGCCCCCGGCCGCCUCCGAGCUCCACCGCCGGCGACAGAAGUGACGCUCCCGACCCCCUCCCUCCGGUGCUCACGAUCCAACUCCGCCCCUCCAGCGACGGCGACGGACCGGAUCUACCCUCCGCCUCGCAGCUCCGAUCCCCUCCGGCGACGGCGAAGGCGUCGGUUCCGCGGACGUAUUCUAUCUCAUUCUUCUCAUCUGCUCAUAUAUUUUGUACAGAAGUAAAAAAAAAAUUGCACUACAUAUGUGACAUCAGAUUUCAUAUGUUAUAGGAGGUACACAGCAUUUUAUUUACCAGAUCAUGAAGGCAAACUUUAUUAUUUGUUUACUUUGCCACAUUCUUGCCAAGUUCCUGCUUUUUAAAUUGGCUGCAUGCCUAGUGUCAUCGUGCUAAUCUAGAUACAUGCCUACUGUCUUUGUAUAUGUAAACAUUCAGUCAAAGAAUAAGAUGCGGUCUGAAAAUUCACAUAUGGAAGGGACUAGUCAGCCUGUACGGCUUGUCCUAAUUUUAAUUUUGAAGGAUAUGGUCUGAAAAAUUACAUAUGAAAAUUAUUUCCAUUCAAGUUCUCCCCUUUUGUUUUGCACCAAGCUAUUGAACCAAGGUUUAGGAGCAUCAAAAUUAGAUAAUUAUUCCCAUUCAAGUCCUUGCCACUAUACACUGCAUAGAUUAUUGCUGUUUCUCUUUUUGCCAUCACAAUUACAAUUGGGAGCAGCAAGAUUAGAUAAUUAUUUAGUCAUACUAGUAUGUAUAUUGUCAUAACUUGGAAGAAUCAGUGAUUGGUAGUCGCUGCUAACCGGCGUUCUGGUGGAGUGCAAGUGGUAAAUACAUUCAUGACAUGAAAAAUUGAGUAUGAAUGUCAGCUUUGUGUAGUUCAGUCAGCUUCCUAUAGGUUUGUUUUUCUCACCCUGCAUAGCUAGCUAGUAUAUAUGUAGUCUUCUGUAGUUUGUUGUGCACUCUGCGGAUUUAGAGCUAGGAAGAAGCAGUGAAGGGAGGGACCUCAGUAGGACAGCAUGAGUUGACGGUCGCUACGAUGUGGGAACCGUUGACCGGUAAACUCUGAAUCAGUUGAGCACCCAAAUGCCAAAUUUUCCAUGGUCAUUCUCUCAAAAUAGAAAUAUGUUACAUAAUUAAAGCCUCUGAGCCCUAUUGAUGCGCAAAGGCAUGGGUGACAAAGUCCGGCCGACCUCACCGUGAUGCAGGACCGGCGGCCACCCUUGACCCUCUGCUAGAGUUAGGUCCCAUCCUGAGCGGUCCGCUGCUCUGGGCGACAUCGGAGGUGGGCUGGUCAGUGGCAUAGAUACUAGAACUUGAGUUGGGAUCACUGCUGGUGCUAGCGGUGUUGAUGGUGCCAUUCAUGUCUCGCUGCAAAGUUGUUGAACAAGGCAAGACCGAUCACCCAUGAACUGAAGCACACAUGCGUGUGCAGUGUGAGCUAAGUAAGCUGGUAAUUCAUUCGGGCAUUGUGCAUGGUACUCAUUCAUAUCGCUGCCUUCUCUUGAUCUUCAGUUUAAAAGAUGAACCCUCAAUUGUCAAGUUGAGUUAACAGGGGCAGCGGGGUAAUGGGAGUUUGAUUGUCAAAUUCAGAAUGUCAAGUUCGGUUAACAGAUGUCAUGAUGGAUCACGUGACAUCUGUUGAAAUUGUAGUCUGUAAUUCUUGGGUUGUUGGUCUAAAUCUGGAGUUUCUAGAGAAUCAAGUACUCAAAAGAACCUUCUAGAGUAGACGACAACAGACAAAUGUUACAGCUAUAUGUAGAGUUACACUUUUUUCUGUAAUCCAAUGAUGCUGAAUUGUGUGGAACUAAUCUACUAUUACCUGUAUCUGUUCUUGAUUUUCAGUUAGAAAGCUUGAAGAAAAUAUCUGUUGAAUUGUAUGAAACCAUUUACUAAACAGUUGUAUAUUCUGAAAUAGUUGCUGACUUCCUCAUUGUUUAUAAUUCUGCCACCUUUGAGUUGCAGUUCCAGGCCGAUGAGGAAGAUAAGGACUACUGACCGCUGCCUUACAACUUAUAUCUUCAAGAAGUAUUGCUAGCCCGGACACGAAUAUUUGAUAAUCGAUAACUUUUUGUAUGGAGAGAGAGGUCUGCGACAACCUCACAAUUCUUAUAUGAUUCAUUUGUAUCGGCGUUGGCCUGACAGUUCUAAAUUUGGGAACCUGUCGAACAAUGAUGGCUAUUCUUAUUCUAGCCCAUGAAAAUGGUCACAUGAUGUUUUUGUUUGUACACGAGAGAUCUUUUUCAGCUGCAACAUCAUAUAUAUUUCAUACUAAAUUCUGACAUUUGUGUAUUGCUGUUCUUAUUCUAGUCCAUGAAAAUAGUCGCAUGAUGUUUUUGUUUGUACGCGAGAGAUCUUUUUCAGCUGGAAAAUCAUAUAUAUUUCAUACUAAAUUCUGACAUUUGUGUAUUGCUGUUCUUAUUCUAGCACAUGAAGAUGGUCACAUGAUGUUCUUGUAUGUAAUGGUCACAACUUGAUUGCAGCGAGAGAUAUUUUCCUAGCCACAGAGCCAUAUCUUUCAUACUAAAUUAUGACUGUAUGCUGGAGCGCCUUCCCCUGCUUACCAAACUGCCACAGGGACAGGGAAAAGGGGUGAUAUCCCCGUUGGAGAUGGGGAUCACCUGUGUUGGUGAAAAUCCCCCGCAGGGGUCUUUCACCCUGGGUUAUCCUUCCCUUGUAACCAAACAAAGCCUAAGAGUGAACGAGAGCAAACCAGCAGACGCCGCCGGGCCGGCAACCAGCAGUAAAGACGGAUGGAUCAGACUGGAGAGGCAACGAUCUGAACACCUAAGAAGAAAGGAUGGCACCAGGACGUUUGGGUUUGCACCAAAUAUCUAUUGGGCUGGUAGCGGUCUUAUUGCACUUCACUGAGCAAGGCAAUGGAUGGGUACUAAAUUACAGAGGAUUCUGUCGCCGGUAAGAGAUACAACAGAAAAGUGUAGUUAUUUUCGAUAUACUGAAUGUUGCAGGUAAGAAGAGAUCGACCAUUACAGAAUGAUACUGCUAUAUGAACUACAGGGAUUAAUGGGAAACGUCGGGCAGCUCCUACUAAAUUCAAAAUAUGCCAGGCUGAUUCCUUGAAGAACAAAAGAAGUUCUAUGUGCCUCUGUGUCCACCCAACAAUAAUGCUGGCAACGGUGUUCAUCCGGAACUGUCGUUAAAUAUUGGUGCUGUGUAUCAGACGGAUAUUGGCACCGAGUGUAUUGUUUCCCCCUACAAAUGACUGUUUACUUUCAGACUCACAACUUAUCUAUGUAUGCGGUAAUGAUACCAUUCGAACAUCUUUUCGUUAACUGAUGGUGGUAUGGAAGAAAACAUGAAUUCUUAUCAA